RNAcentral lists this ribosomal RNA (1396 nucleotides) under Legionella pneumophila. Its description in RNAcentral is "partial 23S ribosomal RNA". It matches the Rfam family "Bacterial large subunit ribosomal RNA", at positions 1548 to 2925 of the family's 2925-position model. Lineage: Bacteria; Pseudomonadati; Pseudomonadota; Gammaproteobacteria; Legionellales; Legionellaceae. The record is from RNAcentral. RNAcentral also lists the same sequence under 1 other name.
CCAUAACUCUGAGGUGCGAAGUGGUUCUGACCUUUUGGUACAGAGAAGUCAUUGAUGCCCGGCUUCCAGGAAAAGCUGCUAGCCAUAACUUAUAGAGAACCGUACCGCAAACCGACACAGGUGGACAGGUAGAGAAUACUAAGGCGCUUGAGAGAACUCGGGUGAAGGAACUAGGCAAAAUGGUACCGUAACUUCGGGAGAAGGUACGCCCUUUCUGGUGAUGGGAUUUACUUUCAGAGCUGGAGAGGGCCGCAGAGACCAGGUGGCUGCGACUGUUUAUUAAAAACACAGCACUCUGCAAAUUCGUAAGAAGACGUAUAGGGUGUGACGCCUGCCCGGUGCCGGAAGGUUAAUUGAUGGGGUUAUCUUCGGAGAAGCUCUUGAUCGAAGCCCCGGUAAACGGCGGCCGUAACUAUAACGGUCCUAAGGUAGCGAAAUUCCUUGUCGGGUAAGUUCCGACCUGCACGAAUGGCGUAACGAUGGCCACACUGUCUCCACCCGAGACUCAGUGAAAUUGAAAUCGCUGUGAAGAUGCAGUGUACCCGCGGCUAGACGGAAAGACCCCGUGAACCUUUACUAUAGUUUUGCACUGGACUUUGAUGAUGACUGUGUAGGAUAGGUGGGAGGCUGUGAAGUGAGGACGCUAGUUCUCAUGGAGCCGCCCUUGAAAUACCACCCUGUUGUUAUUGAGGUUCUAACUUGGUCCAGUAAUCCUGGAUGAGGACAGUGUAUGAUGGGUAGUUUGACUGGGGCGGUCUCCUCCCAAAGAGUAACGGAGGAGCACAAAGGUACCCUCGGUACGGUCGGACAUCGUACCAAGAGUGUAAAGGCAAAAGGGUGCUUGACUGCGAGAGUGACGGCUCGAGCAGGAACGAAAGUUGGUCUUAGUGAUCCGGUGGUUCUGAAUGGAAGGGCCAUCGCUCAACGGAUAAAAGGUACUCCGGGGAUAACAGGCUGAUACCGCCCAAGAGUUCAUAUCGACGGCGGUGUUUGGCACCUCGAUGUCGGCUCAUCACAUCCUGGGGCUGAAGCAGGUCCCAAGGGUAUGGCUGUUCGCCAUUUAAAGUGGUACGCGAGCUGGGUUUAGAACGUCGUGAGACAGUUCGGUCCCUAUCUGCCGUGGGCGUAGGAAAAUUGAGAGGAGCUGCUCCUAGUACGAGAGGACCGGAGUGGACGAACCUCUGGUGCACCGGUUGUCACGCCAGUGGCAUGGCCGGGUAGCUAAGUUCGGACGGGAUAACCGCUGAAAGCAUCUAAGCGGGAAGCCUCCCUCAAGAUGAGUUUUCCCAUGAAGCCCGUUGAAGACUACGACGUUGAUAGGCAAGGUGUGGAAGCGCAGUAAUGCGUGAAGCUAACUUGUACUAAUUGGCUGAUUGUCUUGACCAUAUAAUCUGAG